This 453-nucleotide ribosomal RNA is filed under the name uncultured Bacteroides sp. Its description in RNAcentral is "partial 16S ribosomal RNA". It matches the Rfam family "Bacterial small subunit ribosomal RNA", at positions 341 to 792 of the family's 1533-position model. The record is from RNAcentral. Lineage: Bacteria; Pseudomonadati; Bacteroidota; Bacteroidia; Bacteroidales; Bacteroidaceae.
ACGGAAGGCAGCAGUGAGGAAUAUUGGUCAAUGGACGGAAGUCUGAACCAGCCAAGUCGCGUGAAGGAUGAAGGUAUUAUGUAUUGUAAACUUCUUUAGCAGUGGAGUAAUAAGGGGAUCGUGAUCCCUGAUGCAAGUACACUGAGAAUAAGGAUCGGCUAACUCCGUGCCAGCAGCCGCGGUAAUACGGAGGAUCCGAGCGUUAUCCGGAUUUAUUGGGUUUAAAGGGUGCGCAGGCGGCUUUUUAAGUCAGUGGUUAAAUCGUGACGCUCAACGUCAUCACGCCAUUGAUACUGGAGAGCUUGAUUGCGGUCGAGGUUUGCGGAAUUCGUUGUGUAGCGGUGAAAUGCAUAGAUAUGACGAAGAACUCCGAUCGCGAAGGCAGGUGUCCGGGGUGUAACUGACGCUGAGGCUCGAAAGUGCGGGUAUCAAACAGGAUUAGAUACCCUGGUA